RNAcentral lists this ribosomal RNA (468 nucleotides) under uncultured bacterium. RNAcentral describes it as "partial 16S ribosomal RNA". It matches the Rfam family "Bacterial small subunit ribosomal RNA", at positions 28 to 507 of the family's 1533-position model. The record is from RNAcentral.
GACGAACGCUGGCGGCGUGCUUAACACAUGCAAGUCGAACGGAAAGGCCCUGCUUUUGUGGGGUGCUCGAGUGGCGAACGGGCGAGUAACACGUGAGUAACCUGCCCUUGACUUUGGGAUAACUUCAGGAAACUGGGGCUAAUACCGGAUAGGAGCUCCUGCUGCAUGGUGGGGGUUGGAAAGUUUCGGCGGUUGGGGAUGGACUCGCGGCUUAUCAGCUUGUUGGUGGGGUAGUGGCUUACCAAGGCUUUGACGGGUAGCCGGCCUGAGAGGGUGGCCGGCCACAUUGGGACUGAGAUACGGCCCAGACUCCUACGGGAGGCAGCAGUGGGGAAUAUUGCACAAUGGGCGGAAGCCUGAUGCAGCAACGCCGCGUGCGGGAUGACGGCCUUCGGGUUGUAAACCGCUUUCGCCUGUGACGAAGCGUGAGUGACGGUAAUGGGUAAAGAAGCACCGGCUAACUACGUG